UCUUGCUAUACGUCUUCCGGGACUCGGCGCAAAGCACACCGGGAAAUGUAGUUCUCUGUGAAGCGUCCGUCGGAAAGCCGCUUGUAGCGAGUGCGCAUGUCUUACCCAUCCUCUUAGAGAGCGAGAAUCUAUAAAGACGCUCCGCAGGGAUGUCCCUCAUCUACAGUAUAUCUUGGUUCUGCUGCUGAUGUCCACUUUCCAAACCGAACAAAGUCUAAAAGAAAGUGCCAUCAGAUGUGGUCAUGCGUCCCAAACAUAAGGAGAUAUUCCCUCAGCCUCCACCCGGCCACUGACUUUAGUGCCCACACCACGAGGAACCCUUUUCAGCGCACUGAAGAUGAAAGCUCCUUUCUUCUAACCUAGAGAGGCGACCUCUUGUUUUUUGUACAUUUCUGUGAAUAAGGAGACCCCUUGAGAUUUGUAUGUGCUGACCUCUAACAUAUGUCACGCGUUACCAGAUCACCUUGCAAGCGCCUCUCUCCAGAGAAAACAAACCCAAUUUUGACUGGCUUUACUCAUAAUCUACAUUUUCUAUUCUUUAUUAAAGGGACAUUUCCACCAAACAAUGUCCCCUUUUUACAAAAAAAGAAAACAGCUCUGUGUAUUUGUCUUCCAAAUAAAUUCAUAUCGCUCUCUCAACAGUAUCUCUUCACAGUGUGCAGAAUGUAUAGGGAAUGCAACCGUAUAAUAAAAUUUGCCUGAUGGAAAAAUGUAAUCCUAAAAAAUUUUCCAAAUUCACAGCCAUUCAAAAAUUUUAGUGGUUUUAAGGUCAAUAAAGUUUAAGUUGAAAGUAGUAUGGG
Long non-coding RNA from Xenopus laevis (African clawed frog), 800 nucleotides. RefSeq lists it as uncharacterized. The transcript has 3 exons. NCBI's taxonomy places the organism in Eukaryota, Metazoa, Chordata, Amphibia, Anura, Pipidae. The record is from RefSeq and is a predicted model, not a curated record.